CCUCUUCUCCUCCUCAUAAAUUGGUCUCUCUUUGCCAGCGACGACACACAGAGAAAGAGACUUAUCUAUAAGUCUUAAUUUUGGGUUGAAGACUUUGGUUUCCAAACCCUAAUCUAUAAUGGGCGUAUGCAAGAGCAGCACCUUAGGUAACUGCUAUGUGGAAUUAUUUAGUGGAUUGAUCCUCCUGAUGCCAUUUCAAAAGCAAUUGAUUGUGGAAAAAAUGAAAGUGAGAUGCUUGAUGGUUGCCGUGCACUUCUGUCAAUAGCAACUGUAACUAAUUCCCUUAUGUUUGACCAACUCUUGAAAUCUAUACGGUUUGCUUUGUAAUAUUCUCUUGUGGCCCUUCAAUAUAUAUCUUUAAUUUAAUGUUUUUUAUUAAUUACAGUUGCAUUCACAUUACAAUGUCCUUUUAUGACAUAAUUUAUUUUGUUCACAAUUUUACACAAGUUAACUCUUUACCUUGAUGUUUAGCCCUUUUAGCACUCUUAGCCUGUUGGCUGGCUUGAUGUGUGAAGUUAAAAAAGUUCUUAUGGUAAAUUACACUGAAAAGGAGACAUGGAGUUGGGUGGCACGUGAUAUUUUAUUAGAUACCUAGGCGGCACUUCUUGGGUUAUAUGUUCCAUUAAUUACUUUUUCAGUAUCUUGUCACAUGUGCAUGGCAAUUCUGAAAACACUUUCAUUCCUUUAUUUAUCUGUAUAUUUGGAAAGAAUCGUAGGGUAGCUUGAUGGUUAUUUUUUUUCAAAUCCUCAUUCUGCAUUAGAAGGAUUGUUAUUAUGGGCAAAUAUUAUCAAGUAUUAUUGGUGUAAGAUGAGGUUUGAACAAUAUGACAGUUGCUUUAUUAAGUACAUUUUUCUUCCUCUACUUGUCCAAUAGCAGCUCAUAAACUCAAAGUUUUGCCAUUCAUCCGCAGCCAUUGUGUACUACUGGUCAAAAUAUAUUACUUUCACCAGAAGGGAUAAAUGUGGCAGCCAAUCUCUUUGCCUUGAUUGUAGAGUCUGAAUUAAAGGGUGACUUUGAUGUUUACCCUCUAUUUUGCUUUUCUAUUACUUGUUUAAGAAUUAUUAUUGGUAACUCUGAUGUAACUCUAAUGUUUAUUUUGGUUAAAAAAAUAUAUAUAUAAUUUGCGGAAUUUAAAAAAUGUAAAUGUAAUGAGUACUAAUGUCAAAUAGCUAAGGUUGUAUUGUAAUUAAUAGCCUUUUAACUUUCUGAUAUAUAGAUUAGGACCAUUCUUGAAUAAACACAGAGUGACAUUUGGGAAUAGAUCAUCUUCCUAUUAUAUAUUGUAAGAUAGGCAUACUUCUAGAAAUAAACUUUAAGAAUGAAGGGCAGAAAAUAAAUUCAGAACAAUUAUUGUUCCCUUAUUAUGCUUUUAUCUUCCUUAAUCAGGUCUUUAGAACCUUUUAUUUGGGAUGAGCCCUAAUUGAAUGAUCUAAUUUUUUUUUUUAUUUUCUUUGUCUUACUACACAAUUUUCUUAGUAUUUAUAUUUUUGUUGUGCUCCUUGUAUUAGCAUGUGUUUUGCUGCCUCAUAUUUGGUCCAACAAAGUGCAGUUGAUGUUGUAGUCAACUUAACUUCACUCCAGAACUCCUGCUCCCACUUUUUUGUUGCCUUGUGUUAUUGAACAUAUAGGCACCUAUAAAACAAUUGAGUGAUUGAAAUGUUUCCUGUUAAAUAAGUUUAAGUUUACUCAGCUAUCAUUAUUGUUUAAUUUUACAUAUGUAAACAAAACUCUUAGUACUUCUUUCCAGAAAAAGAAUUGUUUGUACUUUCGUCUACUUGGCAAUUGCUUCAACAUUAUAAAAUACAAAGUUAUCGUGGAGCCUUCAUUUAUAGUUUUCUUUGCUGGUCCCUUCAGUUCUUAAUGUUUAAGUUCUAUUUAUAUUUCACUUAAAUUUGAUCUUGUUCCAUGUUUUUUUAUUUAUUUUAAAUCUGGAACAAAAUUUAUUGCUUGGAUGAGUCACAUUAUUGGCAGUUUUUGGAGUACCAGCACUUCUACAAUUUACCUUGUGAAAUUUUUAUAUGAUCCAGAUAUUUGAUUCAUCUUUAUGUGUAUCUUAUCUUUAUUCUCAAUGAGACCAGAUUUAUAUAGCAAAAAUGGAUUGUUGCAGUUCUUUUCAUGGUUCUUGUCUACGCCAGGGAGUCAGUAAGGAUCUACCUAUUUAGAAGUAUACUUAUGUCUUCUUUAACAAUUUUGAUGUAAAAGGAAACUGCAGGUUUAAUUAUUACAUUAUAUAUUGGGGAUGGUUUGGUUCAAUUAUCUCUGGAAGUCUACAAAAUUAUCACUUACUGUAAUUAGUUGGGAUUGAGGCUUUUUUUUUUAGUUAAUUUAAGUGUCAUUUAUUGUAUUUCUAAUUCAUGUUUACAAUUUCAAUCAGUGAAGCAUGAGCCAUCUUCUAGUAGUGUUCUUGCACCCAAUGUUAUUUACAACUCCAAGAAUCAAGGUGAUUCAGGUUCCCGUGGACAGUUGCAUAUGUUGUCUACAUCAGUUCUUCAUCUACCUGAACGACCUAAUCAACCUGAAUGCCAAUAUUUCAUUAGCACUAAGAGCUGCAAAUAUGGAUUUGAUUGCAAGUACAAUCAUCUUAUGAAGGGAAGCUCAAUUGUUCAUCUUUCAGCGGCAGUCAGCACCAUUGCCACAACCACCUGAAUGACCAAUUUGAUUUUCUUUUCUUUAGUUAAUUGAGUAUUAAAGACAUUUGAGCAUUCUUGCUGAAUAUUUUGGUACACAAAUUUUGGAGCUUUUAGUUGAUUUCUACUCUUUAUCUUUUUUAGGCUACAUAUUGAUGACUUUGCAUCUUGUUUGAAGAUGAUGGAAUUAUUUUUUGUGCUAGCAGAUGCUUUUUGUUUUUGUUUAGAAAUUGGAAAUUUUAUGGAUCUUAAAUUUUAUUGUGGAUUUAUUUUGUUUGAUGGCUA
Molecule: RNA transcript, 2913 nt
Organism: Cornus florida
Lineage: Eukaryota; Viridiplantae; Streptophyta; Magnoliopsida; Cornales; Cornaceae
Gene name: zinc finger CCCH domain-containing protein 34-like
Exons: 3
Source: RefSeq, a predicted model, not a curated record